Long non-coding RNA from Acanthochromis polyacanthus (spiny chromis), 1459 nucleotides. RefSeq lists it as uncharacterized. Lineage: Eukaryota; Metazoa; Chordata; Actinopteri; Pomacentridae. The transcript has 2 exons. The record is from RefSeq and is a predicted model, not a curated record.
GGUCUGAAAUAAGACAAAAUGUACGUUAUUUACACAUAAUGUACAAAAAAAGAGAAGAUAAUGUCCGAGAAGGCGCCAGAACAAAAGACUCAAGAGUUAACCAUUGCAUCUCUCUUUUGGGAAAAGAUGAUGUAAACCCCGCACCAUGUGACACUGUAAUGAAUAAUACAGUAGAGAGGUGGGGAGAGGAAAAGAGGGGGGACGCAAACACAGUUAAGGUUUGAUGAGAGAACAGAAGGAGGGUCACACAUCCUCAAAGACUGACAUUGAGAACUACUUGGUGCGUUGUUUUUGUCGGAGAAGAUGUGCUGGCCGCCCGCGGACCAGCCGCUGCUGCUGCCGGGCGACUCCUGCGGCUCCGGGAGACCGUCACCGUGCUCCGCGGCUCAGCUGCUGGCGUCGCGGCUGCGGAGGAUCGGCGACCAGCUGGAGAAGAGCUGGGCGGGAGGAGAGACGCCGGAGGUUGGCUACGACUGCGGGGACAGGCCGGUAGCGGCGGCGGACCGAGGCCGGAUGAAGGGCUUCCUGCGCAUCGCGGUGCGCUUCACGGUGCUCGUGCUGCUCGUGGCGAGGCGACACCUGUAGGGCGCGAGACCAGCAACAGAUGGUGCCUUUAGGGUCAUGCGUUGAGGGGAAAAGCAGCGGGGCUCACAUCAUUUGCGCGUAAAAGCCAGACGGAUGCAGUAGGUGGAUGCGCUCCCGGAGGAAAGGUGUGCGUUUUAAACAGAAAGAGGAGCAGGAGGACGGGGAUUAAAUUCGGCUCUGUGCGUCUGAAUACGACGGGGCCCGAGAUGUGGAUGCAGUUUCAUAACGAGCUGACACUAUUAACCCCAGCUGCCCCUCAGUCAAGUCAGUCAGUUGCAGUCCUGCGCCCUUACGUGACUCCGAUUCUGUCAUCCCAUUUCCACUGCGGUGAUGUAAUCCUCCCCUGGUAGAGUGGAGGGAAAAGCUUACCCACAGUGCGCCUUUGAAUUUUCACCUCCCACGAUGUGAGCGCAUCAAUAACAGCGGGGUUAAAUGGAUUCUGUAUCCAGGCUACAAUUAGCGCAGCAAUCCUUAACAAUGCACUGGAAUACACCUGUUUUUAAGCUUCACAAUGCACUGUACCUUUUGUUGUUUUUUUUAAACAUAAGCUACGUGUAAAUAAUAAUGAUAAUGAGGAUGAAUGUUUUUCUAGGUGUUUUCUACAGUGUUUAUUAUGUGCUUUAUCUGUUGGGGGGAGUGUUAAGUGGCUUUUUAAGAAGAAAAUGCAGGACCUGUGCAUAGGAAGCUGUUAUGCUGUCUGUGAUUUCUUAAUAAAGGAAGAAAAUAAGCUGAUAAAUUCACUGUAAUGUGAGCAGAAUUGCUGUCUUUUAUAAAAUGUGUGGUCCUUUCUACUUCUGAAAUAUUUCAUAUGGAUUUUUAGUAGCCAUGAGAAUAAUAAUAAUAAUAAUAAUAAAAAAGCUUUUACUGAAAUACA